AGAAUCAACGCUGGCGGCGUGCCUAACACAUGCAAGUCGAACGAGAAAGGGUAGCAAUACCUGAGUAAAGUGGCGCACGGGUGAGUAACACGUGACUAACCUACCCUGGAGUGGGGAAUAACUGAGGGAAACCUUAGCUAAUACCGCAUAAUACCUACGGGUCAAAGGAGCAAUUCGCUUCAGGAGGGGGUCGCGGCCGAUUAGCUAGUUGGCGGGGUAAUGGCCCACCAAGGCAGUGAUCGGUAUCCGGCCUGAGAGGGCGCACGGACACACUGGAACUGAAACACGGUCCAGACUCCUACGGGAGGCAGCAGUGGGGAAUUUGCGCAAUGGGGGAAACCCUGACGCAGCAACGCCGCGUGGAGGAUGAAAUCCCUUGGGAUGUAAACUCCUUUCGAUCGGGACGAUUAUGACGGUACCGGAAGAAGAAGCCCCGGCUAACUUCGCGCCAGCAGCCGC
RNAcentral lists this ribosomal RNA (459 nucleotides) under uncultured bacterium. RNAcentral describes it as "SSU rRNA". It matches the Rfam family "Bacterial small subunit ribosomal RNA", at positions 26 to 518 of the family's 1533-position model. The record is from RNAcentral.